Molecule: ribosomal RNA, 656 nt
Filed under: unidentified microorganism
Description: bacterial SSU rRNA
Rfam family: Bacterial small subunit ribosomal RNA
Source: RNAcentral
ACAUGCAAGUCGAGCGGACAGAAGGGAGCUUGCUCCCGGAUGUUAGCGGCGGACGGGUGAGUAACACGUGGGUAACCUGCCUGUAAGACUGGGAUAACUCCGGGAAACCGGAGCUAAUACCGGAUAGUUCCUUGAACCGCAUGGUUCAAGGAUGAAAGACGGUUUCGGCUGUCACUUACAGAUGGACCCGCGGCGCAUUAGCUAGUUGGUGAGGUAACGGCUCACCAAGGCGACGAUGCGUAGCCGACCUGAGAGGGUGAUCGGCCACACUGGGACUGAGACACGGCCCAGACUCCUACGGGAGGCAGCAGUAGGGAAUCUUCCGCAAUGGACGAAAGUCUGACGGAGCAACGCCGCGUGAGUGAUGAAGGUUUUCGGAUCGUAAAGCUCUGUUGUUAGGGAAGAACAAGUGCAAGAGUAACUGCUUGCACCUUGACGGUACCUAACCAGAAAGCCACGGCUAACUACGUGCCAGCAGCCGCGGUAAUACGUAGGUGGCAAGCGUUGUCCGGAAUUAUUGGGCGUAAAGGGCUCGCAGGCGGUUUCUUAAGUCUGAUGUGAAAGCCCCCGGCUCAACCGGGGAGGGUCAUUGGAAACUGGGAAACUUGAGUGCAGAAGAGGAGAGUGGAAUUCCACGUGUAGCGGUGAAAUGCGUA